UACGUAGGGUGCGAGCGUUAAUCGGAAUUACUGGGCGUAAAGCGUGCGCAGGCGGUUUUGUAAGCCAGAUGUGAAAUCCCCGGGCUUAACCUGGGAAUGGCAUUUGGGACUGCAAGGCUCGAGUGCGGCAGAGGAGACUGGAAUUCCUGGUGUAGCAGUGAAAUGCGCAGAUAUCAGGAGGAACACCGGUGGCGAAGGCGGGUCUCUGGGCCGAUACUGACGCUGAGGAGCGAAAGCGUGGGGAGCGAACAGG
Molecule: ribosomal RNA, 253 nt
Filed under: uncultured bacterium
Lineage: Bacteria
Description: partial 16S ribosomal RNA
Rfam family: Bacterial small subunit ribosomal RNA
Source: RNAcentral